GGGAAAGGCGAAAAGAACCCCGGCGAGGGGAGUGAAAAAGAACCUGAAACCGUGUACGUACAAGCAGUGGGAGCACCCUUUGGGGUGUGACUGCGUACCUUUUGUAUAAUGGGUCAGCGACUUAUAUUCUGUAGCAAGGUUAACCGAAUAGGGGAGCCGGAGGGAAACCGAGUCUUAAUUGGGCGUUAAGUUGCAGGGUAUAGACCCGAAACCCGGUGAUCUAGCCAUGGGCAGGUUGAAGGUUGGGUAACACUAACUGGAGGACCGAACCGACUAAUGUUGAAAAAUUAGCGGAUGACCUGUGGCUGGGGGUGAAAGGCCAAUCAAACCGGGAGAUAGCUGGUUCUCCCCGAAAGCUAUUUAGGUAGCGCCUCGUGAAUUCAUCUCCGGGGGUAGAGCACUGUUUCGGCUAGGGGGCCAUCCCGGCUUACCAACCCGAUGCAAACUGCGAAUACCGGAGAAUGUUAUCACGGGAGACACACGGCGGGUGCUAACGUCCGUCGUGAAGAGGGAAACAACCCAGACCGCCAGCUAAGGUCCCAAAGUCAUGGUUAAGUGGGAAACGAUGUGGGAAGGCCCAGACAGCCAGGAUGUUGGCUUAGAAGCAGCCAUCAUUUAAAGAAAGCGUAAUAGCUCACUGGUCGAGUCGGCCUGCGCGGAAGAUGUAACGGGGCUAAACCAUGCACCGAAGCUGCGGCAGCGACGUUUAUGCGUUGUUGGGUAGGGGAGCGUUCUGUAAGCCUGCGAAGGUGGCCUGUGAGGGUUGCUGGAGGUAUCAGAAGU
Molecule: ribosomal RNA, 783 nt
Filed under: Salmonella enterica subsp. enterica serovar Bovismorbificans
Lineage: Bacteria; Pseudomonadati; Pseudomonadota; Gammaproteobacteria; Enterobacterales; Enterobacteriaceae
Description: partial 23S ribosomal RNA
Rfam family: Bacterial large subunit ribosomal RNA
Source: RNAcentral